ACGCCGCGUGAACGAUGAAGGCUUUCGGGUCGUAAAGUUCUGUUGUAAGGGAAGAACAAGUGCCGCAGGCAAUGGCGGCACCUUGACGGUACCUUGCGAGAAAGCCACGGCUAACUACGUGCCAGCAGCCGCGGUAAUACGUAGGUGGCAAGCGUUGUCCGGAAUUAUUGGGCGUAAAGCGCGCGCAGGCGGCCUCUUAAGUCUGAUGUGAAAGCCCCCGGCUCAACCGGGGAGGGCCAUUGGAAACUGGGAGGCUUGAGUAUAGGAGAGAAGAGUGGAAUUCCACGUGUAGCGGUGAAAUGCGUAGAGAUGUGGAGGAACACCAGUGGCGAAGGCGACUCUUUGGCCUAUAACUGACGCUGAGGCGCGAAAGCGUGGGGAGCAAACAGGAUUAGAUACCCUGGUAGUCCACGCCGUAAACGAUGAGUGCUAGGUGUUGGAGGGUUUCCGCCCUUCAGUGCUGAAGCUAACGCAUUAAGCACUCCGCCU
This 489-nucleotide ribosomal RNA is filed under the name Exiguobacterium sp. RNAcentral describes it as "bacterial SSU rRNA". It matches the Rfam family "Bacterial small subunit ribosomal RNA", at positions 394 to 874 of the family's 1533-position model. Lineage: Bacteria; Bacillati; Bacillota; Bacilli; Caryophanales. The record is from RNAcentral.